UACGGAGGGGGCUAGCGUUGUUCGGAAUUACUGGGCGUAAAGCGCACGUAGGCGGAACGUUAAGUCAGAGGUGAAAGCCUGGAGCUCAACCCCAGAACUGCCUUUGAUACUGGCGAUCUAGAGUCCGGAAGAGGUGAGUGGAACUCCCUGUGUAGCGGUGGAAUGCGUAGAUAUUAGGAAGAACACCAGUGGCGAAGGCGGCUCACUGGACCGGUACUGACGCUGAGGUGCGAAAGCGUGGGGAGCAAACAGG
This 253-nucleotide unclassified non-coding RNA is filed under the name Alphaproteobacteria bacterium. RNAcentral describes it as "contains 16S-23S intergenic spacer region". It matches the Rfam family "Bacterial small subunit ribosomal RNA", at positions 524 to 776 of the family's 1533-position model. Lineage: Bacteria; Pseudomonadati; Pseudomonadota; Alphaproteobacteria. The record is from RNAcentral.